Molecule: long non-coding RNA, 316 nt
Filed under: Linum usitatissimum (flax)
Lineage: Eukaryota; Viridiplantae; Streptophyta; Magnoliopsida; Malpighiales; Linaceae
Description: long non-coding RNA (LUSI_LNC002710)
Source: RNAcentral
UCAGCGUCCAAUGAAGAAUGGAAACUGGUUGAAAUAAGAGAUGAACCAGAAACACAUUCCAAUGGGGGGAAAUUUAGUUGUCAAGAGGGGCAAGCUGCUCUCCAGGACACUCCUAUAUUGGCUAAGUCUCCAGAUACAAAAACAAAUGAACUAAUACGCAAGGGCGUAACAAAAUCUGUUAUUGGACUGCCACGUCUCCAGAUACAAAAUCAAAUGAACUAAUACGCAAGGGCGUAACAAAAUCUGUUAUUGGACUGCCAAGUUUUAAUGGAUCUAGUGAUCUCACUGUUCAUUUCCACCCACACAACAUCAAGGU